This is a long non-coding RNA of Cucurbita maxima (winter squash), 340 nucleotides long. RefSeq lists it as uncharacterized. The record is from RefSeq and is a predicted model, not a curated record. NCBI's taxonomy places the organism in Eukaryota, Viridiplantae, Streptophyta, Magnoliopsida, Cucurbitales, Cucurbitaceae. The transcript is spliced from 2 exons.
ACUCUCAUCUGAAGUGGGAUGGAACCACUAUGACACUAUCAAGGAGCUUGAAAGGAAGAGGAAGGAGAGGGCUCAAGCCGUGUACGAGAAGAAGAAGCAGUUGAAUAAGUUAAGGGUCAAAGCCGAGAAGGUUGCAGACGAGAAGCUCGGUCCCCAGUUGCAAGUAAUAGCCCCGACUAAAUACUAGUUUGUUGCAAGAUUUGUGUUAUGGGAGAAUGGAGUUGAGUUGCAUUUGCAUUUUCUUCAUAGCGUGCCAUUUUGUUGUCUAUUCAUGAUGAUGAUGAUUUUGGUCACCAUUUUUCUUAUCCUUUUUAUCUUCGGAUUUUGAAAUUAGUUUAAA